UGUGUGGCUGUUCACCUUUGUGUUUUGCCUUUGCUGCUGCAGUUCUGUUUUUGACAAGAUGGAACCAGUAUCUCAGAAGCUUUUGUAGUACUUGAUGAGCCUGCAGUCCUUUCAUUCCAGUGAGGGAAGGGGAGAGGAGUAAACAAAGGAAGCUGCCUGCAUUGCUCUUGCUCCUGGCUAGAGGGGAGGCAGGAGAAAGUGUCCUGCUAGAAUAGGAACCGGGGGAAGGGGUAAGUCCCCCCCAGCUUGCCUUAAAUAGUGUCCCUGUCAGCCACUGGGCUGAAGGAAAGAAGAACUAUUUUAAAUUUGUUCUGAGCAAUGUUAACAGGAGCUGAAGAGAGACCCAUCACUUAUUUUGUGGCUGGAAGAAUGACAGAUGCAAUUGGGGCCAUGGAGGUUGAGAGGUAAAGUGAGAGCAACUAUGGAAGGAUCUUCAAGCUUCAUCAGAGGUUUCGUAACUGUCUAGAUCUCCAGACGCUAUUCAGAAUGAUGCUCCUGGAUGCAUUAAUCUGAUGUCAUUAUGACUCCGUGGUGCCAAGAAGCUGUUUUAUUAAGGAAACGGCAAGAGACCUUUUUAAUGGCCAGGCAAGAAGAGACAAGGAGGAGAGGAGCUGCCGAAUGAACAGCGCAAAUCAACUGAUUUUCAAUUAACAGCUCAAAUAAAAACGAAAUGCCUUUAGUACUCAGCCUCCAAAGCCCCAAUACUCUUAAAUAAGGCAAGUACCUGGCCAUUCUACAGAUUCAUUACAUCAACUUCAUUUUAAGCAAAACUGAAUCAUGCUUAUUUAACAAGCUCUUCUUCACAGCAGCAGUUUCUCUUCAGGAUUAGAAAGUUUAGAGAUAAGUUGCAUCCAUGAGGUUCAAACUGGGAUUCAUGCCUUCCAACCCCGGCUAUGUAUUGAUUGCAUAUGUACUAGUGUCAUGGUUAUUGAGCAAACUGCCCUGUAGAUCCUUUUUAGUCCCUCCCUUGGCAAAAUCAUGUGAUUCUACCCCUCAGGGGCUGCCUCCCAUAGAUCCAGCCAUAAUCUCCCACCUAUGUUACCAUGGCAGGCCCAGCUCAGUUAGCAUUUAUAAGGCCCCUCUAGGGUACUGUGACCAGUGAGUUGUUUGAAGUGACUCAAAGGCAGUGUCUUCAAAA
Pelodiscus sinensis (Chinese soft-shelled turtle) is the source of this 1138-nucleotide long non-coding RNA. RefSeq lists it as uncharacterized. The record is from RefSeq and is a predicted model, not a curated record. NCBI's taxonomy places the organism in Eukaryota, Metazoa, Chordata, Testudines, Trionychidae.